GGGCAGUUAUCCAAGCGGCUAAAGGAAGCAGACUGUAAAUCUGCGGUCAAAAGACUUCGCUAUUUCAAAUCUAGUGCUGCCCA
This 83-nucleotide transfer RNA is filed under the name Caudoviricetes sp. RNAcentral describes it as "tRNA-Tyr". It matches the Rfam family "tRNA". Rfam says of the family: Transfer RNA (tRNA) molecules are approximately 80 nucleotides in length. Their secondary structure includes four short double-helical elements and three loops (D, anti-codon, and T loops). Further hydrogen bonds mediate the characteristic L-shaped molecular structure. tRNAs have two regions of fundamental functional importance: the anti-codon, which is responsible for specific mRNA codon recognition, and the 3' end, to which the tRNAs corresponding amino acid is attached (by aminoacyl-tRNA synthetases). tRNAs cope with the degeneracy of the genetic code in two manners: having more than one tRNA (with a specific anti-codon) for a particular amino acid; and 'wobble' base-pairing, i.e. permitting non-standard base-pairing at the 3rd anti-codon position. Lineage: Duplodnaviria; Heunggongvirae; Uroviricota; Caudoviricetes. The record is from RNAcentral.